RNAcentral lists this ribosomal RNA (984 nucleotides) under Triticum aestivum (bread wheat). Its description in RNAcentral is "partial small subunit ribosomal RNA". The record is from RNAcentral. Lineage: Eukaryota; Viridiplantae; Streptophyta; Magnoliopsida; Poales; Poaceae.
AUGGCCACCACCGCCGCCGACGUACCUGACGACUUCAAAAAGUGGUGGGAGACAUUCAACAAUGGCGUCGCCGUCGACCAAGGGCAAGACGACGAUGAAGACGGGACGGACUCCGAUUCCGGUUUCGAGCAGGGGCAGCAGCAGGAGGAGGAGAAUGCGGGCGAGGAGACGGCGUCGGAGGCCCACGCGCCCGCCGGGAGGGAGGGCGCCGCCGGCGAUUGCGACGAGGAGGGGGUUUCUGAGGAUAGCCGUUUUCCGCGUGAAGGUGAGCUGCAGGGAAGGAACAUAGAAGGAGACGCCAAACUAAAUACACCACGGGCUUCUGAAGAUGAAGCCGAGCAUGUUUCUGAGGACAGCUAUGUUCAGAUUGGAGGCGGGCUGCAGGGAAUGAAGAGAACAGCAACCGCCGAACGAUACGAACCGCAGGCUACCGGAAAUGAGAUCCAGAACGAAGAAGGUCAAGACGAGCACGUUUCUGAGGACAACUACGUUAAGAUUGGGGGCUGGGAGCAAGGAAGGAAGAGAGAAGUAACUGCUAAACGAAACGAACUGCAGGCUACUGGAAUUGAGAUCCAGAACGAAGAAGGUCAAGACAAGUAUGUUUCUGUAGACAACUACGUUCAGAUUGGAGGCUGGGAGCAAGGAAGGAAGAGGAAAGCAACCGUGACACCCAACGGAGUGCAACCGAUUGGAAUCGAGAUCCAGAACAAAACAAGUCAAGGUGAGUAUCUGAGAGCUGAGAAUCAGAGGCUGAGGCUGCAGCUUGUUCGCAAGACGAAAGAGCUCGAGGCUGAACAGAUUCAGAGGCUCGAACUGGAGUUGCAUUUCAAGACAGAGGAGAACAAGUCUUUGAAGAAGCAGAAUGAAGAGUUGAGAGCUGAAAAUGAGUACUACAGGAAGAUGAACAUGAAGAUGUCUGCGCUGCACUUGAUUUGUUUAGUCUCUGAUAUUCAUGUGAACUUCAGGGUGCUGGGCAACGACUGA